This 1281-nucleotide ribosomal RNA is filed under the name uncultured Candidatus Saccharibacteria bacterium. Its description in RNAcentral is "bacterial SSU rRNA". It matches the Rfam family "Bacterial small subunit ribosomal RNA", at positions 74 to 1398 of the family's 1533-position model. The record is from RNAcentral. Lineage: Bacteria; Candidatus Saccharimonadota.
AGUAGUUUACUACUUGGCGGCGAGCGGCGGACGGCUGAGUAACGCGUGGGAACAUGCCCCAAAGUGAGGAAUAACUGCCCGAAAGGGUAGCUAAUACCGCAUAUGAUCUUCGGAUUAAAGGAUUUAUCCGCUUUGGGAGUGGCCUGCGUACGAUUAGAUAGUUGGUGAGGUAAUGGCUCACCAAGUCGACGAUCGUUAACUGGUUUGAGAGGAUAAUCAGUCAGACUGGAACUGAGACACGGUCCAGACUCCUACGGGAGGCAGCAGUGAGGAAUCUUCCACAAUGGGCGAAAGCCUNGAUGGAGCAACUCCGCGUGCAGGAUGAAGGCCUUCGGGUUGUAAACUGCUUUUAUGAGUNAAGAAUAUGACGGUAACUCAUGAAUAAGGGUCGGCUAACUACGUGCCAGCAGCCGCGGUCAUACGUAGGACCCAAGCGUUAUCCGGAGUGACUGGGCGUAAAGAGUUGCGUAGGUGGUUUGUUAAGUGAAUAGUGAAAGCUAGCGGCUCAACCGUAUAGAUUAUUAUUCAUACUGGCAAACUCGAGAACAGCAGAGGUAACUGGAAUUUCUGAAGUAGGGGUAAUAUCCGUAGAUAUCAGAAGGAACACCAAUGGCGUAGGCAGGUUACUGGGCUGUUUCUGACACUGAGGCACGAAAGCGUGGGGAGCGAACCGGAUUAGAUACCCGGGUAGUCCACGCCGUAAACGAUGGAUACUAGCUGUUGGAGGUAUCGACCCCUUCAGUAGCGAACGUAACGCGUUAAGUAUCCCGCCUGUGGAGUACGGUCGCAAGACUAAAACAUAAAGGAAUUGACGGGGACCGCACAAGCGGUGGAUCAUGUUCUUUAAUUCGAUGAUAAACGAAGAACCUUACCAGGGCUUGACAUCCAGGGAAGCACUACGAAAGUAGCGUGUGCCUUUUGGAACCCUGUGACAGAUGUUGCAUGGCCGUCGUCAGCUCGUGUCGUGAGAUGUUUGGUUAAGUCCAUCAACGAGCGCAACCCUUGUGAAUAGUUGUAUUUUUCUAUUCAGACUGCCCCGGUAACGGGGAGGAAGGAGGGGAUGACGUCAGGUCAGUAUUACUCUUACGUCCUGGGCUAGAAACGUGAUACAAUGGCCGGUACAAUGCGCCGCGAAGCCGCGAGGUGAAGCAAAUCGCAUCAAAGCCGGUCCCAGUUCGGAUUGGGGGCUGAAACUCGCCUCCAUGAAGUCGGAAUCGCUAGUAAUCGCAGGUCAGCAAACUGCGGUGAAUACGUUCCCGGGUCUUGUACACACCGCCCGUC